AAGAUACUAGUGUAAGGAAAACACACUGCCUUGUCAAGGCAGAGUUGUGGGCUAAACUCCCACGUAUUUUA
This 71-nucleotide transfer RNA is filed under the name Odontobutis platycephala. RNAcentral's name for it is "tRNA-Asp". It matches the Rfam family "tRNA". From Rfam's summary of the family: Transfer RNA (tRNA) molecules are approximately 80 nucleotides in length. Their secondary structure includes four short double-helical elements and three loops (D, anti-codon, and T loops). The record is from RNAcentral. Lineage: Eukaryota; Metazoa; Chordata; Actinopteri; Gobiiformes; Odontobutidae.